AUGUCGAUAAAGACAUGGAACGGCACUAGUGGUUCUGAUACAAAAACAUAUACUAUAGGUACGUUUCUAUAACAAACCCGCUACACGAGUACAAAAGACGUUACGACGAUAGUAUAUUUAUCUCUUUUUAACUUAUGACGGCUCACAUGAGUGCGAAAGACAAAACCUAUGUUUUUCUUUCGUCUUAAAUAUGCUCCGUCUAUUCUAUACAAGGUCUUUGGUUGGUUUCAAAGACCUUGUAUAGAAUAGACGGAUAAUAUUUUAGAGUGACGAUCAAACUAUCACAGCUCUCUUUCUUCCCUAUGGCGACAAUCUCUGUGGAAAAAAGAAACAAACAUAGACAAACACCGCUGUCUAGAACGUCAGUGUUUACCGUUUUGAGAUGUUGUGGUAGUCAGCUGGAUACCAAACCUGCCGUUAGUUUUUUGGUGUUUUGGGACAUUAUUUUAACUUUUUAUAUAAACAAUCUGUGAAAUAGUUAUUCAUUAUGAACCAUGGCUUGCGUAGCUAUUGGUUGUGAGAGUAGAAUGGGUGUUAUAAUGGAGAACGAUCAAACAAUGUCUCACCAUGGAUUUUCUAAAUAUCCUAAUUUACGAAACCAGAAAUUAAGAAACAAUUGGAUUCAGACCAUGAAACGAGAUGAUUCUCUCUUCUGAAGGACGCCUUCUCCUUAUUUAAGCCUGUGCUAAUUACAUUUCGAUGUAUCUUGCUUUCUAUCGAGCAGGAUACCAAACAAAAAUAUUACAUAGAGAUGCAGUACCAACAAUAUUCACUCACAUAUCUCACAUAAGUAAAGUUAUAACGACCAGAGCCGACACUGUACACUUCUAAAGAAAGUGAACAUGAGGAAAAAUUUUUUUACCACCAAAAAUCGGAAUUGUUAAGUGUUUCGUACGGUUCUUCAUAGGUAUCUAUCUAUUUGGGAACGAAUAGGUAUUGUUUUGAUUAAAAUACUUGUUAUCCACUCCGAUAUGGAUACAAGGGCCUUGUUUCUGCAUUUAAUCACUCAAUUUGUAUGUACAAAGUUUUAGAUCUUGGCCUAAAAUAAUAUCGAUAAAGACAUAGAACAUCCCUAGUGGUCGUGACACAAAAUAUAUACAAAUAAGUACGUUUCUAUAACAAACCCGCUACGCAAGUACAAAAGGCGUUACGACGAUAGUAUAUUUAUCUCUUUUUAACUUAUGACGGCUCACAUGAGUGCGAAAAACCAAACCUAUGUUUUUCUUUCGUCUUAAAUAUGCUCCGUCUAUUCUAUACAAGGUCU
Long non-coding RNA from Pectinophora gossypiella (pink bollworm), 1264 nucleotides. RefSeq lists it as uncharacterized. The transcript is spliced from 3 exons. The record is from RefSeq and is a predicted model, not a curated record. Lineage: Eukaryota; Metazoa; Arthropoda; Insecta; Lepidoptera; Gelechiidae.